This is a long non-coding RNA of Xiphias gladius (swordfish), 366 nucleotides long. RefSeq lists it as uncharacterized. The transcript has 3 exons. The record is from RefSeq and is a predicted model, not a curated record. NCBI's taxonomy places the organism in Eukaryota, Metazoa, Chordata, Actinopteri, Istiophoriformes, Xiphiidae.
GACCCGUCCGCCGUGAGUACGAUUGAGAGGGGAAACCUCUGCUACAAGCCAGCUGAGCGCAAUCAGGCAGCAGACACCGGAGGAACACAGCCGGGGGAGCGCACUUUGUAUCUCAGCAGAGGGGCACACAAGGCGCCGACUAACUGAAACACAGUAUCUAAGCGCUCUCCCCGAACUGAAUAUUAGCCGAGGAAAAAAAGAAAACACACUGAAAAACAGCGGCCAUUCCGAAGCUGAACAAAAGAAUGUCAGUAAAGCAUCGCGCCUGUGAGGUAAAGCGAAAAAGAAGGUCACGUGAUUCUCGCGGACGCUUCGGACUGACGAACGCUGUACUCUCUGCCUGGUGCUAAAGCGGGCACUCGGGAA